CUAGAUUUGUACUCUCAAAAACGUGAGGUAAAAUACAUUAUAAAUACCUCAAGGAAGUCAUCUAGGUCCCCUAAUUUUCCUGCUGUAUUUCAACGAUGUCAACUACGUUAUCAAAUGCCCAUGAUUAAGCUUCGCAAACGAUUUGAAAAUGUUCCUGCGCAUCCGUUCUAUCUGUGAUGCUACGAUUCUUUAAGUUGAUAAGUUGUAACGUUGUUCGCCUUUUCUGUUUAAUUUUUGUUGUACAUAAUAUUUUGUAGUAAAAUCAUAGUUUCUAUCAUCCAUAACGAUUUAAAAUUAGUUUUUGAUAAUUUUUAGAUGUGCUAUAAUUUUAUAGCAUGUUUUGAUAAUUUUAAGAACCAUUCAUAUAUCAGCCGCCAAUUUAAAAUUUCUAGCCAUAAAUUUAGAAGCUUUAUCUGGAUAAAGCUAAAUAGUGGCAAACCUUAGAUGUAGAUGACCCGCAGAUUAAAUAAUUUCGUCUAAUGUUGUUUGAAAGUAUGCGUGAAUGUUGAAUGUCAUUGAAAGUGACUAAGCAUUUUAGGGUAUGAAGUAAAAAGUUCGCAGCUACUAUUUCACUUCUAAAUCAUUUAGGCUGAAGAGUAGAAGCCAGUUCUGUGAUUUUCUACGUUGCUAUUUAAAAGGUGUGUUAAAAACUCGAAGUGAAUAUUGAAAAUUAUUGAAAGUUUUAUUAGUAAAAGUUUUAAGAAGUGAAUUUAUUCCAAAGCAGUGAAGUGAAUUAAAAGGCAUUAAAUUUUUCCAUUCUAUUCUUUUUUGUUUUAAUGAACAAUAGUUCCAGUUUUUAUAUCACGAGGAACAGAGGUUCUGCUCUCGUGCAUUUUUCUAUAGUACAAAAGCAGCGUCCGAUUGACGCUUUUUGUACGGGCUUGAAAGCUCUACGGCCUUCGCUGGGCCAGUUACGUUCCACGAAGUGCCAUUCCGGACCGUGCGGGCCCGCCAUUACGGUAGCCAAACGGGGAAAGAGGCAAUCCGACCUGCCGAGAGUCUUCGAGGGAAGGUUUCAUUUCGUCACGGUGGUUGAGUAGUCCCGCAGGCGAGAACCAGUUGGAGGCACGUUGGCCUUCCGGACGAGAGGAGACGGUAGAGUAUCGGUCCAUCAGCCGCAGCCCAUCCCCGCAACGUUGUUUCGGCCCAUCACGCACGUGUGCCCCUCCCGACGACGCUUCUGUCGAGGAGCCCUGGUGAUCCCUGGAACAAAAGGUUCGGACACCCGCUGUAGCCGGUACCCCGGCCGCUGAACGUCACGAACUGUUGACCCACCCCUGUCGGUUCGAGCAGCUGCCAGCACCAGCAUAAAAUCCCUGAUCAGGUAUGUCGUAAAGCAUGGCCAUGUCACACACACUACAACACAUACACUUUCACGUUACACAUAAAUGAAUCUUUUGAAAAAAUGAAGACAAUACAUAAAUGAAUUCAAUCUAAA
Aedes albopictus (Asian tiger mosquito) is the source of this 1438-nucleotide long non-coding RNA. RefSeq lists it as uncharacterized. The transcript has 2 exons. The record is from RefSeq and is a predicted model, not a curated record. NCBI's taxonomy places the organism in Eukaryota, Metazoa, Arthropoda, Insecta, Diptera, Culicidae.